UGGGGACCACAGAAAGGGUCAAGAUGCUCAUUUUCCCUCUGACUCUGGCUCCUACAUAACUUAGCUUCUCUGAGACAUCCACCGUGCUGUUGUCAUGAGGUUUUGACCCAGGAACUUUGACUCCCUUGAGCUUUAUCCUCCCAACUUCCUGUUGCUUUGAUGAGGAAAUUUCCUCAGAGUCUCCUGUUACACUUCACGAGGGAAGACCACGGCUGGGCCCCGCUUUCUCUUUUGAGCAUCCGAAGUGUCCCUUCCAUCCUCUUCCUCGGGUCAAGUCCUCUGCUCGACUCCCAGCUCCUGGAGAGCAGGGCCAAGUCUGACUCAGCCCCAUGUCCUCUGGCCUGGACCAGGCAGGUGUCCGGUCUUGAGCUGUUCCUGCGUUUCUCCAAGGCACCCACUCCUUGGGAUUCCGUUUUGAAAGAAAGGUAUCAGCCAUCAGCGGAAAUCUGUGUCCCUUACAGCUCGGGUCAUGAUCUCAGGAUCUUGAGAUGGAGCCCUGCAUCAGGCUCCACACUCAAUGUGGACUUGGCUUGGGAUUCUCUCUCUCCCUUUCCCUCUGCUCCUCUUUCCAGUGCACUCUCUUUAAAACAAACAAACAAAUAAUAAAAUCUUAAAGAUUUUUCACAUGGUCUCAAACUCUACAAGAAAUUAUAAGAUGAC
RNAcentral lists this long non-coding RNA (660 nucleotides) under Mustela putorius furo (domestic ferret). RNAcentral describes it as "lncRNA (ENSMPUG00000030438.1)". The record is from RNAcentral. Lineage: Eukaryota; Metazoa; Chordata; Mammalia; Carnivora; Mustelidae.